UAUUACCGUCAGCGAUGGAUUA
RNAcentral lists this small nuclear RNA (22 nucleotides) under Arabidopsis thaliana (thale cress). RNAcentral's name for it is "snRNA_17544". Lineage: Eukaryota; Viridiplantae; Streptophyta; Magnoliopsida; Brassicales; Brassicaceae. The record is from RNAcentral.